RNAcentral lists this long non-coding RNA (583 nucleotides) under Capsicum annuum. RNAcentral describes it as "long non-coding RNA (CANN_LNC000047)". The record is from RNAcentral. Lineage: Eukaryota; Viridiplantae; Streptophyta; Magnoliopsida; Solanales; Solanaceae.
CAUAUAUGUCCUAACCCUUUAAGAGCCAUUGCUUGCUUCUCUUAUUUCACUUGGCUUAGUGUGUAGUAGUGUUUCUUGAUCUAAUCCAAAAUUAAGCAUUUGGGAUUGCCUUGUAGUUUGUAAAGAUUGAAUCUUUGUUCAUAUGGGGUUGGCUAAAAUUUUUGUAAAGAUUGAAUCUUUAUAGAAGUUUUCACCUGGGGUUGGCUUAUAUUUUGUGAAGAUUGAAUCUUCAUAGGAUUUCAAUACUUGGGGUUGCUUUAUAUGUUGUAAAGAUUGAAUCUUUAUAGGAUUUUUCACUUGGGGUUGCCUUAUAUUUUGUAAAGAUUGAAUCUUUAUAGAAUUUUUUACCUGGGGUUGGGUUAUAUUUUGUGAAGAUUGAAUCUUUAUAGGAAUUUUCACCUGGGGUUGGCUUAUAUUUCGUGAAGAUUGAAUCUUUAUAGGAUUUCAUUUACUUGGGUUUGCCUUAUAUUUUGUAAAGAUUCAAUCUUUAUAGGAUCUUUUACCUGGUGUUGAUUAUAUUUUGUGAAGAGUUAUAUCUGGAUUUGGCUGUGGAGAUUGAACCUUACUGUUUUAUCAACAGUAG